Molecule: long non-coding RNA, 1787 nt
Organism: Canis lupus familiaris (dog)
Lineage: Eukaryota; Metazoa; Chordata; Mammalia; Carnivora; Canidae
Exons: 4
Source: RefSeq, a predicted model, not a curated record
GCAGGAAGUUUUGCAACACAUUGCCUGUGGUGAUGGGGGAAGUAGAAAAUGUUCCCAAUGAACUGGGUGACGGAGCCUGGCACUUCCUGUGAACCGUGGGGGGGGGAGCUGCCAACAGAGGGAAGUUGAACCAUAAGAAGCUGGGACUCGACUGGGCUGGAAGAUUCUCUGCCUUGCCACGUGGCAAAUGAAACCUAAGACACAGGUUCUGGGCAAAGAUCAAAUCAGACCACUCUCAGGAAAACAUGCUCUGAAGACGAAGCUGAGUGUAAAACCUUUAAUAUCCUUUGUCGAGAAUGCAGAACCAUCGGAGCUGGUGUCUCGGAGAAUGAUUUGGGCCCAGGGCUUCUACGGAGUGCUAUCCCUCCCACUCUUGGCAGAAGCCCCGGGCGGAGGAGGGCCUGUGUCAAAGGAAUAUGUGGGCAUGGCUUUUGCCUGCUAGGGUGAACCUCAAUAAGGAACAUGACCAAUGUGGACUGCUGGAGGCAGAGACGCACAGAAACGGAAGUUCUCAUGUCUAUAGGCAGGUAGCUGACUAUAAAACCAGGCAGUUGCAAACGUGUGAUACCUUUCAUGGAAAAGAUAGGAGGACCCACAGGGCUGAUCAAGGAGCCAGAGGGCAAAGGCAAGAGCCACAGAGGGUCAUUUUGGGGCAAGAAUAGGCCUAAGUCCUAAUCAGGGACCUUGAAACAUUUUCCUGGCUGGAUUUCAGAACUGCUGAAGGACUGAAAGGACUCCUGUGUGUUUGUUUUUCCUUUUUGAACAGAAGGCGUGUCCACCGCAGUAUGCUAUGCCUGGCCCGCCAGUGUACGUUGGGUGUGUGAAAGACAGACAACCCGUCUCUUUAGUGCACAGAUCUUCAGACUGCUGGAAAUGGGACUUGAGAAGCUGAACUUAAGGAACUAGCCCCAGUGAGCCCCAUCGGUACCUGGACUUGAUUUAUAUGAUGAGAUCCUGGAAUUUAGGCUGAUGCUGGGAUGGGGUGAGACUUUAAGAAGAAGAAGACGAUGUAACUGCAUUGCACCUACUCCUCCGUUUGCUUAUUUCAUGACAACAACUAUUAUUUGAAUAGCUGAGGGAGGUGACCAGGUUUGGAGGAAGCUGCAAUCAUGCCAGGGAUCAAGUCAAGCCUGCUGCUGAGGCCAAGAGGACAGCGACAGGCAGGAAGCUCCCCCACCUCCCCCAUGGAAGAGGGUGAGGGAGGGAAACCAUGAAGGCUGGCCCCCAGAGUGACCAGGCUGUGAGUGACGGUGACAGUGAUUGAGGUCCUUCUACGCCUUCUGUCCUCCGAAGCCAAGAGCUCUGGGAUUGGGCAGGGGUCCCGGCGGGCGUGUUGACCUUUGAUCUUCAACACCUAUCACAUCUGAUUCUUGGGAGAUGCCAGGGGGAUGUUUCGUCAUCUGACCCGUGGAGACGUCCUGCAGCUGCCGUCAGUGGGAAGCACACCCAAGUCCAUCUAACCGCGGACAAGCAUGUGCCGAGAGGUGCUGACACCUGGCUUCCCCCUGUGUCUAGUGGUUAGACCAAGACAUCAGGGCCGGCGGUCAUUUAUUGCUCUUUCCUGAUCCUUCCUCCAUUCCUCUCGCCGAGCAGGAGGCCUCCUGAUUCUUACUUCAUAAACAAGGCUUGGUGAGGGUAAGGAAUUUACCCAGGCUCAGGUAGUGGUGGGUCGGGAGCUGAGAUCGAGGUCUGAUGACCCCUGUUUGUCUGUCUGUGUGUCUCUCUCCUCCCUCCCCCUCUGUUGGCAGAAAAAAACCCACUAAGUUCAAAUAUUUGUCCCCUCUGCA